Molecule: long non-coding RNA, 548 nt
Organism: Castor canadensis (American beaver)
Lineage: Eukaryota; Metazoa; Chordata; Mammalia; Rodentia; Castoridae
Source: RefSeq, a predicted model, not a curated record
CAAGAAGUUUUUUUGUUGCUGGACGACGUGGUUCACGCCUGAAAUCCUAGCUACUUGGUAGGCUGAGAUCGGGAGGAUCAUGCUUGAAGGUCAGCCCAGGCAAAAAGUUUGUGAGACCCUUCCAUUGCAACCAAUACAAUACAAGGAUCACAAUCCAGGACUGCGUGGGCAAAAAGCAAGACCCUAUCUCCAAAACAACCAGAGCAAGAAGUACUGCAGCCACGUCUCAAGCAGUAGAGCACCUGCCUAGCAAGCCUAUAAGCCCUGAGUUCAAGCUCCAGUACUGCCAAGAACUAUCCUUGUUCAUAUACUGAUGUGGAAACUGAAGCUCAGAGAAAUAAAGAGACCUUACCCAGGGUUCCCAAGCUGGGAAAUAGUAGAGCCUGAAUUCAAUACCAAGUCCAUAUGAACACAAGCCUGUGCUCUUUCAUACUGCCUACUGCUGGGAAGAAGAGAGGAUGCAGCAGCAAGACAUCAUCUUAGAGAGAGAAGCCCCCACCGCAUACCAAUUCUACCAGCCCCCUGAUCUUGGACUUCCCAGCCUCCAG